AAUCAACGCUGGCGGCGUGCCUCAGACAUGCAAGUCGAACGCGAAAGGUUCCUUCGGGGACCGAGUAGAGUGGCGCACGGGUGAGUAACACGUAGGUAAUUUGCCUUUGGGUGGGGAAUAACUCAGGGAAACUUGAGCUAAUACCGCAUAAUGCAGCGGCUCGACAUCGAGACAGUUGUUAAAGCGGGGGAUUCGCAAGAACCUCGCGCCUAAAGAGAAGCCUGCGGCAGAUAGCUAGUUGGUAAGGUAAUGGCUUACCAAGGCGACGAUCUGUAACCGGCCUGAGAGGGCGGUCGGUCACACUGACACUGACAUACGGGUCAGACUCCUACGGGAGGCAGCAGUCGGG
This 349-nucleotide ribosomal RNA is filed under the name uncultured bacterium. RNAcentral's name for it is "bacterial SSU rRNA". It matches the Rfam family "Bacterial small subunit ribosomal RNA", at positions 32 to 359 of the family's 1533-position model. The record is from RNAcentral.